RNAcentral lists this long non-coding RNA (1455 nucleotides) under Homo sapiens (human). RNAcentral's name for it is "HSALNT0062198". The record is from RNAcentral. Lineage: Eukaryota; Metazoa; Chordata; Mammalia; Primates; Hominidae.
AGUGCUGGUCGCGCUCUGGCUGGGCACGAACGUAGAGGUCAGGCUAGGGCUGACGAUGCUGGCUAAGCGGGGGCGCACGUCUGGGAAGUCGUCGUCGUAGUCACCGAUGUCCGUGACCUUCCAGAGGUAAUCCACCCGCCUUGGCCUCCCAAAGUGCUGGGAUUACAGGUGUGAGCCACCAUGCCCAGCCAGAAACUGCCACUUUUAAACCAUCAGAUCUCAUUGAGAACUCCCUCACUAUCACGAGAACCGCAUGAGGGAAACCACCCCCAUGAUCUGAUCACCUCCCACCAGGUCCUGCCCUCAACAUGUGGGGAUUACAAUUCAAGAUGAGAUUUGGGUCAGGAAACAGAGCCAAACCAUAUCAAGAGCCUCUGGUAACCACUGUUCUACUCAAUACUUCUAUGAGGUGAACUUCUUUGGAUUCCACAUAUGAUCAAGAUCAUGAGUGGCGCCUGGAACGCCAGCAAGAGAGAACCGUUCACUCCCCUGGACAGGGGGCUGAAGCCGUGGAGCCAAGUGGACUAGCUCAGCGGAUCCCACCCCCACAGAGCCCAGCAAGCUAAGAUCCACUGGCUUGAAAUUCUUGCUGCCAGCACAACAGUCUGAAGUCAACCUGGGAUGCUGGAGCUUGGUGAGGGGAGGAGCGUCCACCAUUACUGAGGCUUGAGUAGGCGGUUUUCCCCUCACAGUGUAAACAAAGCCACCAGGAAAUUUGGACUGGGUGGAGCCCACCGCAGCUCAGCAAAGCCGCUGUAGCCAGGCUGCCUCUCUAGAUUCCUCUUCUCUGGGCAGGGCAUCUCUGAAAAAAAGGCAGCAGCCCCAGUCAGGUACUUAUAGAUAAAACCCCCACCUCCCUGGGACAGAGCACCUUGGGUAAGGGGCAGCUGUGGGCACAGCUUUAGCAGACUUCAACGUCCCUGCCUGACGGCUCCGAAGAGAGCAGCUGAUCUCCCAGCACAGUGUUCAAGCUCUGCUAAGGGUCAGACUGCCUCCUCAAGUGGUUCCCUGACCCCUGUGUCUCCUGACUGGUAGACACCUCCCAGCAGGGGCUGACAGACACCUCAUACAGGAGAGCUCUGGCUGGCAUCUGGCGGGUGCCCCUCUGGGACGAAGCUUCCAGAGGAAGGAACAGUCAGCAAUCUUUGCUGUUCUGCAGCCUCCGCUGAUGAUAUCCAGGGAAACAGGGUCUGGAGUGGAUCUCCAGCAAACUCCAGCAGACCUGCAGCAGAGGGGCCUGACUGUUAUAAGGAAAACUAACAAACAGAAAGGAAUAGCAUCAACAUCAACAAAAAGGAUGUCCACUCAGGGACCUCAUCCAAAUGUCACCAACAUCAAAGACCAAAGGUAGAUAAAUCCAUGAAGAUGGGGAGAAACCAGUGCAAAAAGGCUGAAAAUUCCAAAACCCAGAACGCCUCUUCUCCUCCAAAGGAUCACAACUCCUUGCCAGCAUGG